Molecule: transfer RNA, 66 nt
Filed under: Asura megala
Lineage: Eukaryota; Metazoa; Arthropoda; Insecta; Lepidoptera; Erebidae
Also listed under: 1 other name
Description: tRNA-Gly
Source: RNAcentral
AUUUAUAUAAUAUAUUUAGUAUAUUUGACUUCCAAUCAAAAAGUUUAAAUUUUUUUAAUAUAAAUA